AGCGAACGCUGGCGGCAGGCUUAACACAUGCAAGUCGAGCGGGCCUUUCGGGGUCAGCGGCGGACGGGUGAGUAACGCGUGGGAACGUGCCCUCUGGUUCGGAAUAACUCAGGGAAACUUGAGCUAAUACCGGAUACGCCCUUUUGGGGAAAGGCUUGCUGCCGGAGGAUCGGCCCGCGUCUGAUUAGCUAGUUGGUGAGGUAACGGCUCACCAAGGCGACGAUCAGUAGCUGGUCUGAGAGGAUGAUCAGCCACACUGGGACUGAGACACGGCCCAGACUCCUGCGGGAGGCAGCAGUGGGGAAUAUUGGACAAUGGGCGCAAGCCUGAUCCAGCCAUGCCGCGUGAGUGAUGAAGGCCUUAGGGUUGUAAAGCUCUUUUAUCCGGGACGAUAAUGACGGUACCGGAGGAAUAAGCCCCGGCUAACUUCGUG
RNAcentral lists this ribosomal RNA (433 nucleotides) under uncultured bacterium. RNAcentral describes it as "partial 16S ribosomal RNA". It matches the Rfam family "Bacterial small subunit ribosomal RNA", at positions 29 to 507 of the family's 1533-position model. The record is from RNAcentral.